Molecule: ribosomal RNA, 492 nt
Filed under: uncultured bacterium
Lineage: Bacteria
Description: partial 16S ribosomal RNA
Rfam family: Bacterial small subunit ribosomal RNA
Source: RNAcentral
GAUGAACGCUAGCUACAGGCUUAACACAUGCAAGUCGAGGGGAAACGACAUCGAAAGCUUGCUUUUGAUGGGCGUCGACCGGCGCACGGGUGAGUAACGCGUAUCCAACCUGUCCAUCACUUGGGAAUAACCUUGCGAAAGUAAGACUAAUACCCAAUGACAUCCCACGAAGACAUCUGAAUGGGAUUAAAGAUUUAUCGGUGAUGGAUGGGGAUGCGUCUGAUUAGCUUGUUGGCGGGGUAACGGCCCACCAAGGCAACGAUCAGUAGGGGUUCUGAGAGGAAGGUCCCCCACAUUGGAACUGAGACACGGUCCAAACUCCUACGGGAGGCAGCAGUGAGGAAUAUUGGUCAAUGGGCGAGAGCCUGAACCAGCCAAGUAGCGUGCAGGAUGACGGCCCUAUAGGUUGUAAACUGCUUUUAUAAGGGAAUAAAGUGGGUCUCGUGAGACUUUUUGCAUGUACCUUAUGAAUAAGGACCGGCUAAUUCCGUG